GUGACCGAGGGGCGAGAGGCGGGGGUAAUAGGUAGGGACCAGUCGUUGGUCGGAUUUACUGGGCGUAAAGGGCGCGUAGGCGGCGUGACAAGUCACUUGGGAAAUCUCUGAGCUUAACUCAGAACGGCCAAGUGAAACUGUUGUGCUAGAGUGCAGAAGGGGCAAUCGGAAUUCUUGGUGUAGCGGUGAAAUGCGUAGAUAUCAAGAGGAACACCUGAGGUGAAGACGGGUUGCUGGGCUGACACUGACGCUGAGGCGCGAAAGCCAGGGGAGCAAACGGGAUUAGAUACCCCUGUAGUC
This 300-nucleotide ribosomal RNA is filed under the name uncultured Croceitalea sp. Its description in RNAcentral is "bacterial SSU rRNA". It matches the Rfam family "Bacterial small subunit ribosomal RNA", at positions 496 to 795 of the family's 1533-position model. The record is from RNAcentral. Lineage: Bacteria; Pseudomonadati; Bacteroidota; Flavobacteriia; Flavobacteriales; Flavobacteriaceae.